Molecule: long non-coding RNA, 646 nt
Organism: Zingiber officinale
Lineage: Eukaryota; Viridiplantae; Streptophyta; Magnoliopsida; Zingiberales; Zingiberaceae
Exons: 3
Source: RefSeq, a predicted model, not a curated record
UAUCCCCUAGAGCAUCGAACUUCUUUCUCAUGCACACCUCUUUGUUCUCCUCUUGUCCUUCGUCGCACAAACUUCUUUCUCACGUCACACACGACCUCUUCAAUCUCCUCUUCUCCUUCACCGAACUUUUUUCUCACACCCUCACGCCGCACACAACCUCUUCGAUCUCCUCUUGUUCGAUCUUCUUUGAUCUUCUUCGAUCUCCUCUUCUCCUGACACCAUAAAUUGCUUCAAGUUUCCCAUGUCGCCUCAUUCUCCUUCGAUCUUCUCUUCUCCCAAUGUCACAGCUCUUUCUCAUGGCGCGCACAGUUUUAUUUUUUGCACACCGCCGUAUUUCUUUCUCACGCCGCAAUUCGUCGCUCGCACAGACCUGAUCCACUGUCUUUUCCAGCAACACACCGAAGCCACCUUUCAUCUUCUCUUAGGAAAGUACCCAAGUACGGAAGAAGCACUAUAAGAGAAAGCUAGGAUAUAGUUGUGGAUGAAGAAACCCACUACGACAUGUCUAAGGUCCAACAGCACGAUCGAGUGGAUGUCGGGCAUGUAGGGAAGAAGAUGAGUUCAUUAUUAUGAAGGAAUAAAGGUGAAGCUCCAUUUGCAACAAUCAUCUCCCGGCAUGAUGCAAAACAUUUGAUAGAUUCACAGA